GGGCCAGUAGCUCAGCGGUUAGAGCAGCGGACUCAUAAUCCGACGCGCGGAGGUUCGAUCCCUCCCUGGCCCA
RNAcentral lists this transfer RNA (73 nucleotides) under Solirubrobacter ginsenosidimutans. Its description in RNAcentral is "Solirubrobacter sp. BXN5-15 tRNA". It matches the Rfam family "tRNA". From Rfam's summary of the family: Transfer RNA (tRNA) molecules are approximately 80 nucleotides in length. The record is from Rfam by way of RNAcentral. Lineage: Bacteria; Bacillati; Actinomycetota; Thermoleophilia; Solirubrobacterales; Solirubrobacteraceae.